UACAGAGGGUGCGAGCGUUAAUCGGAUUUACUGGGCGUAAAGCGUGCGUAGGCGGCUUUUUAAGUCGGAUGUGAAAUCCCUGAGCUUAACUUAGGAAUUGCAUUCGAUACUGGGAAGCUAGAGUAUGGGAGAGGAUGGUAGAAUUCCAGGUGUAGCGGUGAAAUGCGUAGAGAUCUGGAGGAAUACCGAUGGCGAAGGCAGCCAUCUGGCCUAAUACUGACGCUGAGGUACGAAAGCAUGGGGAGCAAACAGGAUUAGAUACCCGGGUAGU
This 271-nucleotide ribosomal RNA is filed under the name uncultured bacterium. RNAcentral's name for it is "partial 16S ribosomal RNA". It matches the Rfam family "Bacterial small subunit ribosomal RNA", at positions 524 to 794 of the family's 1533-position model. The record is from RNAcentral.